Molecule: ribosomal RNA, 422 nt
Filed under: uncultured prokaryote
Description: bacterial SSU rRNA
Rfam family: Bacterial small subunit ribosomal RNA
Source: RNAcentral
UGAGGAAUAUUGGUCAAUGGGCGCAAGCCUGAACCAGCCAUCCCGCGUGAAGGAUGAAGGCCCUAUGGGUCGUAAACUUCUUUUAUACACCAAGAAAAAGCAGGACGUGUCCUGCCCCGACGGUAGUGUAUGAAUAAGCAUCGGCUAACUCCGUGCCAGCAGCCGCGGUAAUACGGAGGAUGCGAGCGUUAUCCGGAUUCAUUGGGUUUAAAGGGUGCGUAGGCGGCUUUUUAAGUCAGUGGUGAAAUCUUGCCGCUUAACGGUAAAAUUGCCAUUGAUACUGAUAAGCUUGAGUACAAUUGAGGUAAGCGUAAUGUGUAGUGUAGCGGUGAAAUGCUUAGAUAUAACACAGAACACCAAUUGCGAAGGCAGCUUACUGGGAUACAACUGACGCUGAGGCACGAAAGCGUGGGGAUCAAACA